CCUACGGGAGGCAGCAGUGAGGAAUAUUGGUCAAUGGGCGGUAGCCUGAACCAGCCAAGCCGCGUGAAGGAAGAAGGUACAACGUAUCGUAAACCUCUUUUGUCAGGGAACAAAGUCGGGGACUAGUCCCCGGAUGAAGGUACCUGAAGAAUAAGCAUCGGCUAACUCCGUGCCAGCAGCCGCGGUAAUACGGAGGAUGCGAGCGUUAUCGGAUUUUUUGGGGUUAAAGGGUGCGCAGGCGGGCUGUUAAGUCAGCGGUAAAAGCUCGGGGUUAACCCCCGGCGAGCCGUUGAAACUGGCGGGCUGGAGUUGGAUAGAGGUACGCGGAAUGCGAGGUGUAGCGGUGAAAUGCUUAGAUAUCGCGCAGAACCCCGAUUGCGAAGGCAGCGUACUGG
Molecule: ribosomal RNA, 395 nt
Filed under: uncultured bacterium
Lineage: Bacteria
Description: partial 16S ribosomal RNA
Rfam family: Bacterial small subunit ribosomal RNA
Source: RNAcentral